GGAUGUGGCUCAAGCGGUAGUGCGCUCGCCUGCCAUGCGUGGGGCACUGGGUUCAAUACUCAGCACCA
RNAcentral lists this transfer RNA (68 nucleotides) under Marmota monax (woodchuck). RNAcentral describes it as "tRNA.Gly". The record is from RNAcentral. Lineage: Eukaryota; Metazoa; Chordata; Mammalia; Rodentia; Sciuridae.